AAUAUUGGACAAUGGGGGCAACCCUGAUCCAGCCAUGCCGCGUGUGUGAAGAAGGUCUUCGGAUUGUAAAGCACUUUAAGUUGGGAGGAAGGGCUUUAGGCUAAUACCCUGAAGUUUUGACGUUACCAACAGAAUAAGCACCGGCUCACGCUGUGCCAGCAGCCGCGGUAAUACAGAGGGUGCAAGCUGUAAUCGGAAUUACUGGGUGUAAGGCGCGCGUAGGUGGUUCAGUAAGAAGGGUGUGAAAACCCCGGGUUGAACCUGGGAACUGCUUUCAUAACUGCUGAGCUAGAGUAAGGUAGGGGGUAGUGGAAUUUCCUGUGUAGCGGUGAAAUGCGUAGAUAUAGGAAGGAACACCAGUGGCGAAGGCGACUACCUGGACUGAUACUGACACUGAGGUGCGAAAGCGUGGGGAGCAAA
Molecule: ribosomal RNA, 420 nt
Filed under: uncultured bacterium
Lineage: Bacteria
Description: partial 16S ribosomal RNA
Rfam family: Bacterial small subunit ribosomal RNA
Source: RNAcentral